GAUGAAGAACGUAGCGAAAUGCGAUAAGUAGUGUGAAUUGCAGAAUUCAGUGAAUCAUCGAACCUUUGAACGCACAUUGCGCCCCUUGGUAUUCCAUGGGGCAUGCCUGUUCGAGCGUCAUUUGUACCUUCAAGCUCUGCUUGGUGUUGGGUGUUUGUCUCGCCUCUGCGUGUAGACUCGCCUUAAAACAAUUGGCAGCCGGCGUAUUGAUUUCGGAGCGCAGUACAUCUCGCGCUUUGCACUCAUAACGACGACGUCCAAAAGUACAUUUUUACACUCUUGACCUCGGAUCAGGUAGGGAUACCCGCUGAACUUAAGCAUAUCAAUAAGCGGAGGA
This 337-nucleotide unclassified non-coding RNA is filed under the name soil metagenome. Its description in RNAcentral is "partial contains 5.8S ribosomal RNA, internal transcribed spacer 2, and large subunit ribosomal RNA". The stretch from base 1 to 120 matches the Rfam family "5.8S ribosomal RNA", at positions 35 to 154 of the family's 154-position model. The record is from RNAcentral.